ACAAGGGUAGGAGAAUUAAACUGCUGCCUAGCAACAGGAGGCCGGAGAGACAGGUCCCACCCACAGACCACACACAGAAGAAGAUAAACAGCAGUUUGUUUCAAUUUGGAAGCUGUGAAGUUCAGUUGGUGUUUUUUGAAAGUUGCUGCCAGGAGAGACUGGAGCAAGGGGGACAGAUAGCCAGUCCCAAGCUAAAGAAAAACUUCAAAACCCAGGGGAAUGUAAGAGGGGAAAGUCCAAAGAAGAUGUUCUGGUCAAAGGAAGAUUAGGAACCUGGAAAAGGUCCUGUUAAAUGAGGUUAAGAGUAAGGGGCCAAGGGAAAGUCUCCAAGCUUCGGAUUUAAAGAGACAAAAGCUACAGAAAGUAGAUUUAAAACGAGAACAGUUGGCAAGAGGCAAGUCCAAAGAAACAACUGAAGGAAAGAAUGUUAAUCUGCCUUCGUGAUGUGGAGAGCCACUCCCUGACAACACUCAUUCCAAACCCUGAGGCUUCUCACUACGGCUGAAUGCACCACACCAUGAGGAGCUGAGACCCUGAGACCAGGAAGAUCCCAGGUUGCUUGCUGCAGACAUAGAGAGGUGCUGAAGAAGGUGCAAUAAAGAUUUCUGAGGAUGAUACCAGAACGGAGAGGUUGUAAAUAUCAGGAAUAAGUGAACAGGCUGGGGUUCUCUUCUCUAGAAGGCAGAAGGCUGAGGAUGACAUGGUUUCACCGGGGUGGUGUUGAUGGCAAGUGGGAAAACCCCCUUGGAUCUGUCGGAUAAGUAUUUAAAGGUGCUUGACUAGGGCAGGAAGAGAUCUUGGGGAUAGUGCCACUUCCUACUUAUCUACUGCUGGCAAAGUGGGAGUGACGUCAACCCAAAGGCUGAGACAAGCUACAAAAUGUGGUUGUUGCAAAAUGCCAUGCCACCAAUCUUCACUUCUCUGCAAACACGAGAACGAGGAAAAUGAAACCAAUAAAAAGCAGACAUGAGCUAAAAGCAAAACAGUAAGGGCUCGAGAUUAUAUAAGAUGCACAAAUAUGAAAAUCCCACUUCUGCUACAAUGAAGCACUUACAAGUAUGCAAUUAACAGCAUGUAAAUGUUUUCUCCUGUUUCCAAAAUAAAGAACCCUGAC
Molecule: long non-coding RNA, 1114 nt
Organism: Carcharodon carcharias (great white shark)
Lineage: Eukaryota; Metazoa; Chordata; Chondrichthyes; Lamniformes; Lamnidae
Exons: 5
Source: RefSeq, a predicted model, not a curated record